This is a long non-coding RNA of Musca domestica (house fly), 2226 nucleotides long. RefSeq lists it as uncharacterized. The transcript is spliced from 5 exons. The record is from RefSeq and is a predicted model, not a curated record. NCBI's taxonomy places the organism in Eukaryota, Metazoa, Arthropoda, Insecta, Diptera, Muscidae.
UGAAUUAUGCACCACCACCUGCAUAAUGAUGCACCACCGUUGUUACUUUGUACACCGACGUGCAUGAAUCGUACACGAUCGUUGCCAUUUUAGCAACUACCGUGUAUGAAUCAUGCACCACCGUUGUCAUUUUUUUUACUCGUGUGCAAUCGGCUGCAUAUUUACCAUUUUUUCCGUGUUAUUGAAAGAGAAAGGACGCAUUGUGCAAAAAAUUUAUUGAAAAUGAAUAAUAAUUCGCAAGAUCCUCAAAAUAUCAUUGGUGAGUUGUUAGAAAUCGAUGGCAAUAUUGUUGUGGUUCGCGAUACAAACCAUUGCAGCAGUCAAGAUGCGGAAAACAAUGAGGACGAUUAUAUGUUAAGGGAGUUCUUAAAAGGAAUAAAUAUGGAGUCGCUUUUUGAACAAUUAAAAGGUAAGUAAAUAAAAAUGAAUUUUUCAGUUAAUCAGUGUAAUUAACAAAGAAUUUUCUUUUUUGUUCUUUUAGCAUCACAUGUAACAUUUCGCAGCUUGCAGUACUUGAAAAAAGAAGAUUUAAAGGAAGCAGUGCCACCAUUGGGACUGCGUGUUGAAUUCAGAGAAAAGCUCUUUGCUUGGAAAAAACGAAAGCUCGGGAUUGAUGACGAAACUAUGUCAGUUCCAUCUAAAAUAGGUGAAUGGUGGAAACGCAACGAGACACCUGCAAGUACUCCUGGUACUCCCGACACUACAGGUUCGAACUGCUCAAAAGCCAAAGGAAUUUUGUCAGAGGAUCUAACGGAAUUGUUAACACAUACCUCGAAGGGGAAACUAGCGCUUGAAUGUAGUAGCGUUAAUAAGAAAUUAAGUGACGAGCAAAGAGAUGAUAUAAUUAAUAUAAUUAUUGAAGAUAUUUUAACCAACAAUGUUACUCUUUACACUCAAGACUAUAUGCGCAUAUUGGAUGAAAUUUGUUCCGUUUUUCCUCUUGAAAACGAAAUGAGGGAUUAUUAUUACAUUUCAAGAAAAGGAAAGAACAACGCAAGCGGAAAACUUUAUGCCAAGUAUAGAAACAAGAAGUCCAAAAGAAUAAAGCUUUUGAUUUCCGAGCCUAGCACAAGCAAAGCAGCAACUCACACAUCUCCUAAUUUUUGUAACAAAGAUGUUCCCGAAAUUGAUGAAUCAGUUGAAAAUUCAUUGAAAGCUUCCUUACUAAGAGAAUGUAAUGAUUGGGGAUCGAUCUGCGAAAAAUGGAAAAGAUCCUUUAACAUACGGCAAAGAGAUAUAAAAAAUUUAAGUAGCCAUACAUUUCUCCUUGAAUGGACGAAGUUGUCCGAUGCAAGAGCUUCAGAAUUGGUAAGUAGCCAUGAGCUAUUUAUUUGUAUAUGGAUACUAAUGUUUCGUUUUAGGUCAACAUUGAUUUCGAUAUUAUGUAUCCACAGAAAGGCAAUCUUCUACUUUCUAAAUGGGACCAAUUUAAGAAAAAAAUUUACAAUUAUUAUGGGAAAAAUAUUCAUAACGAACAUUGCAAACAACUCUUCGCAAAUGUUUUGACGGCAAGCAGCAUAGAUGCUCAAGAUUAUAUAUACGCAAUACUGUUGAAUUCAGUUUUACCAUCACCUGCUAGGUUUAAAUGUGGAAACGGUAAAUUACGAAAAAAAGUAACAAUAGCUGAUUCGCAGGAAAGUUUCGUACUGCGACUACCGACAAUUAACGAUUAUAAAAGGCAAAUUGAUACAGUCACUGAAAAGUAUUACAAUGCUGGAUUAACUAUACAGCCAUUUAUAAUUGUGGAGGGUUUGUCCGAUUUCAAUAUAAAAGGUUUUUAUGUUUUUUUAACCACAAUUUGUUAAAAUUUCAAUCGUUCCUCGAAUGUUUAGAUACAUGUUUUAAAAUUUUUCAUGCACUUUCUUUAAAAUAUCCAAAUGCCUGCCAAAUUCCAUGGAUUUUUAUCCAAAAAUAUUUUUAUGAAAUUAAUACUGUAUAUGAUAUAAAAUCAGUUAAUUUGACUUCACUUAUUAAUUUCUGCAACAAUAAUUAAAGUACAAUUCAAAAUGUAUAUUUGCUUUCGUUGCCGUAAGCAUUUUGAUAAGGCAAAUCUUUUAAUAGCUCAUUUGAAAACAGACCAUUUAAUGUCCACUAAAUUUUUAAAAGUACAAUGCGUUCAGGACAACUGUAAGCAAACAUUUACAAAAUUUACGUCAUUCAGAAUUCAUUUAGAAAAACUUCACAAGAAUCACACAAAAGCUCCACCAAUGGUUAAAGCCAUUAAUG